CCUGAAGAGCAUAAAGACUUUUUCAAAUAAAAAUAUUUGUAUCCCUUCAAUCUGCUUUGUAAUCAUCAAAAUCAAUCUAGGAGCAACAAUCUCCCCCUUUUUGAUGAUGACAAAACACUUGAACAAAAGUAUUUAUGUGAAUGCAUUAUAGGUUUAUAUGCUUGAAAAGAGUAUGAUUCUUUUGGCAUGUGAUAUAAAUGGUCAUAUGCAAAAAUAGUUUG
Molecule: long non-coding RNA, 221 nt
Filed under: Elaeis guineensis (African oil palm)
Lineage: Eukaryota; Viridiplantae; Streptophyta; Magnoliopsida; Arecales; Arecaceae
Description: long non-coding RNA (EGUI_LNC050367)
Source: RNAcentral